UACGUAGGUGGCAAGCGUUGUCCGGAUUUACUGGGCGUAAAGGGCGUGCAGGUGGUCUGUUAAGUUCAGGGUGAAAGCUCCCGGCUCAACUGGGAGAGGUCCUUGGAUACUGGCAGACUUGAGGGAGGUAGAGGAGAGUGGAAUUCCCGGUGUAGUGGUGAUAUGCGUAGAUAUCUGGAGGAACACCGGUGGCGAAGGCGGCGUCCUGGACCAACACUGACACUGAGGAGCGA
This 233-nucleotide ribosomal RNA is filed under the name uncultured bacterium. RNAcentral's name for it is "partial 16S ribosomal RNA". It matches the Rfam family "Bacterial small subunit ribosomal RNA", at positions 524 to 756 of the family's 1533-position model. The record is from RNAcentral.